AUCCUGGUGGCCUAGUGGUUAGAGCAUCUGCCUUGGAUGGAUAAGGUCGUGGGUUUGAACACCAGUUGAGUCAUA
This is a non-coding RNA of Potamilus streckersoni, 75 nucleotides long. The record is from the annotation of a GenBank genome assembly. NCBI's taxonomy places the organism in Eukaryota, Metazoa, Mollusca, Bivalvia, Unionida, Unionidae.